RNAcentral lists this unclassified non-coding RNA (234 nucleotides) under plant metagenome. RNAcentral's name for it is "partial contains small subunit ribosomal RNA, internal transcribed spacer 1, and 5.8S ribosomal RNA". The record is from RNAcentral.
UUUCCGUAGGUGAACCUGCGGAGGGAUCAUUACAGUAGUCGCCCGGGGCGCCGCAAGGCCUCCCGGGUAACCUACCACCCUUUGUUUAUUACACUUUGUUGCUUUGGCAGGCCUGCCCUCGGGCUGCUGGCUCCGGCCGGCGAGCGCUUGCCAGAGGACCUAAACUCUGUUUGUCUAUACUGUCUGAGUACUAUAUAAUAGUUAAAACUUUCAACAACGGAUCUCUUGGUUCUG